AAUCGGUGAAAUUGAUCUCCCUGUACAAAAGCAGGGAUAACACCAUAAGACGAGAAGACCCUGUGGAACUUCAAAAACAGCAACCACCCCAAAUUACAUGCACCCCCACCCCGGGCACACUACUCCUAAAGCACUGGUUUGCAUUUUUUCGGUUGGGGCAACCUUGGAGCAAAACAGAACCUCCAAAAAUUGGACCAUCCAUCCAGACUAAGAGCGACAUCUCAACGUGCUAAUAGUACCCAGACCCAAUACAAUUGAUCAAUGGACCAAGCUACCCCAGGGAUAACAGCGCAAUCUCCCCCAAGAGUCCAUAUCGACGGGGAGGUUUACGACCUCGAUGUUGGAUCAGGACAUCCUAGUGGUGCAGCAGCUACUAAGGGUUCGUUUGUUCAACGAUUAACAGUCCUACGUGAUCUGAGUUCAGACCGGAGCAAUCCAGGUCGGUUUCCAUCUAUGACGAACUCUUCCCCGUACGAAAGGAUCGGAAAAGUGAGGCCAAUACCACAGGCACGCCUUCGCCUUAAGUAAUGAAGCCAACUCAAUUACAAAAGGCUAUCACACUCCCCCACGUCCUAGAAAAGG
This 582-nucleotide ribosomal RNA is filed under the name Ammomanes phoenicura (rufous-tailed lark). RNAcentral describes it as "partial 16S ribosomal RNA". It matches the Rfam family "Bacterial large subunit ribosomal RNA", at positions 2031 to 2849 of the family's 2925-position model. Lineage: Eukaryota; Metazoa; Chordata; Aves; Passeriformes; Alaudidae. The record is from RNAcentral.